RNAcentral lists this transfer-messenger RNA (351 nucleotides) under Oscillospiraceae. RNAcentral's name for it is "CAG-115 sp900766795 Standard tmRNA". It matches the Rfam family "transfer-messenger RNA". Rfam says of the family: Bacterial tmRNA, also known as 10Sa RNA or SsrA, is named for its dual tRNA and mRNA-like properties. Its role is to liberate the mRNA from a stalled ribosome. The record is from RNAcentral. RNAcentral also lists the same sequence under 1 other name. Lineage: Bacteria; Bacillati; Bacillota; Clostridia; Eubacteriales.
GGGCCCGUAAAGGCUUCGACGGGGAUUCUGAGGCAUGAUAAGCGAGUAGUGAGGGCGAAAUCACUUAAAUCGUCGCAACCUAAAUUUAAACGCAGACGAAGAUCUCGUUUUAGCAGCUGCCUAAGCGCACUGCCGUCGCCCCCGAGAGUACCGCGGCUCGGGCUGCGGCGUCGACUAGCGGUAAACGUCACCUGCGAAUAGCCUUAUAGCUUGUGAUGUAUUAAAGGCUACUGAACGUUUCAGCCUGUUUGUCGGCGGAAGCGGGAGGGAAUGUCAAAAGACAAACUGCACUCGGAGAAAGUUGUGAGGACGGGUUUUCGGACAGGGGUUCAAUUCCCCUCGGGUCCACCA